Molecule: long non-coding RNA, 3758 nt
Filed under: Bemisia tabaci
Lineage: Eukaryota; Metazoa; Arthropoda; Insecta; Hemiptera; Aleyrodidae
Description: lncRNA ENSSSA1NGG001725
Source: RNAcentral
CCAUGCCCCUGAACGAACAAAACGACCCAAGUGUCCUCAGUAAACUGAAUUCUCGACAGUUCUCAGACUACCAAGAUUUUGGUGAUCCUGCCAGAGACUUGGCAAACCUGGAUGAAGAACUUUACAUGUCAUACCGCAGUGAGGAGGAUGACGUCAUACCAUACGGUUUCCCGGUGCAAAACUAUAUUAGUCAUAGUGACCUCUCGACCAAUGUCUGUGAUAUCGAAGAUUCUGACGUUCCGGCCUGACAAAACCCGAAACCCCUGGUCUUGGAGUGCCAGAUUUAAUACUUGAACUUAUUGAUUUUUCCAAGAAAUAUUGACAGUGGAACUGCAUUGGACAAUUUUAUGAAACGAUCUAAGCAGCUAAUUUCAUGAAAUUUUCUCUCUUUAACUGUAAGGUAAAUAAGAUAACUUCGUUAUGAUCUAUUAGUUUAUUGUCAGAAUCUUCAAGUGUCUGACUGCAAUAUUUUAAUUAAUUCUGUACAACUGUUAAGUCUAUCUUUUGAUAUAUUAGUGCAAUUUAGAAUCAAAAAGAUUCGUUCAAUUUGCCGAAACUAUUGGAGUAUGAAAUGGAGCCCUACUAAAUAUAGCUCUGGGUAAAUAUAGCCCUGCCUGACGAAAUAAAAAAGCCUUGCAAAUGAAGUUGCAUUUCUUUUUUAUGCAGGAAAUUUUUUUAACCUUACAACCCUGAUAUUUUUAUACUUUGCUUCAUUCGCAACUAUUUGGAAAAAUCAGUAAUUCUUGUAUUUGGCAUCCAACUCUAGGCUGGUCUUUUGCUAAAAGUGCCGAUCACCAUGAUCUCAUAAGUAAUUCCUCACAAAGAGGGACUGUUGAAGCGUUAAAUGCAAGAACAACAAGUGUUUUAUUUCAAAGACUUUGUUUUCAGGUUGUUUUUACAUGUAUGGCUUCAAUUACCUUAAAUAGGUAUCUGUAUGAGCGUCAGUAAUUUCAAUUUUUUCUGUCUUAGAUUUAUAUUAAGUAUUAGAAAUUUUGAUUUCCUUUUUUCUAAUCGAUCAUUCUCAUGUCUAGACCAAGUUUCUUAGACAAAAUUCCAGGAGGUCUGAUUUUAGGUAGAGUCAAAAAAUUAUGACAAGCAACUUCAAAAACUAUAUUUUUUUUAUGUUGUCAUUCAUCUCCUUUCGUUUUAUUUGACUUACGUAAUUUUACUUCAGUAAGUUUGAAUGGAAUUACAUUUAGGUCUAUCCUUGCAAAAAAUUAAUUUUAUUGUUUUCUUGUAAAUGUUCUAAGUUCCUUCUGAAGCGAUUGAACCGCUCAGUUGUUUCAUCGGGCGGUUUCUCUCUGUAUUAUCACAAUGAUUUUGAGUUGCUAACUGUAAACUAUCUGGUCAAUUUAAAGAAUGAGUGGUGCAGAUAUAAUUUCAGAAUAAUUAUUCAAAUUUUUAACUUGCUCAGAAACAGCAAGAAAUUUCAUCAUGUUGAGAUGAAUGAAUGUACCUAUAAUUAGAUGCUAUUUUUUUUUUUUAAACAUUUGGAAACCCUUCUUUGUCUGUGUAGAUAGUAGCGUUUAACUAUUGCGCAAGACAUGAUCAACCCGAGUGACUAACAUUGUAGCAAUGUAAUCUAAGCUGUCAUGUGUAACAACCAAAUAAUUGUCCUUCAAUUUGUUUUCCUUGCAAAUUUUUUCUUCUCAGAGACGUUAUGUUACUCUUUUGUGAAUAAAUUUUGGGCUCGUAAACAAUUUUUUUACAAAAGUUCGAAGAGGGCUGAUUUUUUAAGAAUCUAAAAAGUAUAGAACACUUUUGAAAGAAAUUGGUAUUUUCUAAUUUGUAAAACUAAAGUAUGAAAAACCAAACUUGACAAAGAUGUUACACAAUUUCAAGCAAAUUAGAAUGUUGAAAGUUUUUCAGUAACUCUGCAUCACUGGAAUGGACUUGUUUCAAUUUAGCUGUUUGGAAAACAGAUCAGAUUUAGUACUUGUAUUAAUAAUUACACUUUUCUUUAAAAUACUCUUAUUGAAUGGCAGGGUGACAAGUUUUUAAGAAGUUCAGAAAUCUCACUGUCAAACUUCAUGUUUCCCUGCUAUCAGAGAAUUUUGUGUUUGUUUAUUUCCACCAACAUGAAGAAUUUUCAGAGAAACCUUUCAUGCAUUACUUUUUUAGUAAAUGAAGAUUCAAGAAAUUUUAUGCAUGAAAGCCUUGGAAAUUUAGAAAUUUCAGAAUUAGAAACUUAGGAUGAAAAUACUCAGUUUGCAUGUGGAAAGAAUGUAAAAAAAUUGACAACCCGAGUUAGGUCUUGAAAACUAUCAAUCCCUUAAAAAUACUUUCUCGCAAGGAAAAUUUUAUAUCUUAAGAAAUAGCGAAACACUACGACUAUUGUCCAUUUAAACAAUUCUUUCCUUAAUACUUACAUGUUAUGUUAGAAGAGACAGCCCCAAUAAGAAAAGAAUUGAUAGGUGUCUAAUCUGGAAUAGCUGAAGUUUUAAUUUUUUCUAAGUAGUAGGUACCUGAAAUGAUAAGUCUCAAAAAUCUUAUUUUUUUAAACCCGACCAAAUUGCCUUACAAAAAUUCAAACAAAUCUAUUUUUUCUUCUUGUUGUAGUUUCGUCUAUUUUACCUUUUUCUCUAAUUCAUUUUCGUGCCCUCUGUGAUUAUGAUUUGAUUGUAGAUCGUGCAAAUUUUUAUUGAAGAAAUCAUCGCUCUUAUCUUGAGACUGAAGGGUUGUUUCUGAACUUUAGCAAAACUAAUGAUUUUUAUGGAGACUCUGUAUCACCGUUUUAUGAGUACAUAUUAGACAAAUAUUUUAAAAAUUUCCAAGACAGUACCCUUCUUUGCUAUCAGAAAUGUACCCUUUACCUCAAAGACAUAUUCCCUGUAGUUUAACGUAAUUUACUUUUGAAAGCCUUUCACUGUCAUUCCACUAGAGCUCUUAUUUGUUGAGUCUUUGUUCAUCUAUUUUUUUACCAUUUGUAAACGAUGUGUAAAUGCCAAGGAAAGUAGAACUUAGGAGAAUAUUUGUGGUACGUUUUAAAAGACUGAUCUUCCCAAUUCUUGUAAAUAACUGGACAGCCAUGAUUAUUGCCAUUAUUUUUUUAUGUGUACCUAACCGAAUUGUAAUUUGUAAAUACGCUUUUUUGUACUAAAUUCAAAAGUAAUUAGUCUAUAGUUCAAUUUAUCUCAAACUUCAAGUAAAAUUGAGUCAGUGCUGUAACUUAUUUUCUCAUGUUUCAAAGAGAUGUAUCAACUAAAGUCUGCACACCGUAAGUUUUUCUCAAGUAUCUCAGUUCUGGAAUUCUUUUCUGAAAUGAUUUCUCAACCUCCUUGCAGUUUUUACAUUUCUAUUUGUAAUUGUGAAAACUUUAAUCCAAUUUCAUCUCUUUUUCUUCUUUUUGUGUAAUUUCAUCUCUCCAAAAUCCCUGUAAUAGUCUCUAAGUUUUUAGCAUCAAUCAACUAAUCUGAAUUAAAAAUUAGUCUUCUGUUGCAUUUGGUAAUUAGUCAUUCACACUACUUUCUUGCAAAAGACUUAAGCCCUUUUCAUUCCUUUCAAGAGCAAUAUCCUGUUCUUUUUACCUAUCAAAAAAAAAUGUAUCAGUUGAAUUUUUCAUUGAAGAUUUUCUUGUUCCCCGAUGACUGCCUCAAUUUCUUGUGUUGGGUGUCACUAUUUUUCUCAGAUGAUGAGUUGUAAAAUUUACUGUUUCAUUUUUUGUCCUGUAAAAACAUUUUGUAAGAAAUUAUGUAUGUAUUGUAUUAUAAUAUUUUCUCCUUUUUUUGACUAAAGAAAUCCAAUUAUUAAUUUGGCAU